UUUUUAAAACCUACGGGCCCAGUGAAUUUUUAUUCUAACGCCUUAAAGGAAGGAAUGAAUUUUAGAGGGCGCGGAAUUUGCAUUUACACGCUGAACCUAAGGAGAUCAAUAAGCUGAGGAAAAGGAGCUCACAAGGAUUCCCCUAGAAAAUGCGAGUGAAGCGGGCAAAGCUCAAACUUUAAAAUCUGGGGGUCUCUGUGGCCCUACGUGUUGUUUCCUAAAGACGUGCUAUCCGCGCUGGACCUGGUGCCAUUCUCCUGGAACGUAGCGUCAUAGAGGGUGAGAAUCCUGUCGUUGACACGGACUACCAGGGCUUAUGUGACGCGCUCUCAAAGAGUCGAGUUGUUCGUGAAUGCAUCUCUAAAUGGGUGGUAAAUUCCAUCCAAAGCUAGAUAUUUGCGAGAGACCAAUAGCGAACAAGUACCGUGAGGGAAAGAUGAAAAGAACUUUGGAAAGAGAGUUAAACAGUAUCGUGAAAUUGUUGAAAGGGAAACGCUUGAAGUCAGUCGCGUAGCCCAGAAAUCAACCUUGCUUUUGCUUGGUGUACUUUCUGGUUAACGGGUCAGCAUCAAUUUUGACCGGUGGAUAAAGGUCAGGGGAAUGUGGCAUCUUCGGAUGUGUUAUAGUCCUUGGUCGCGUGCAUCGAUCGGGAUUGAGAAACUCACGUCUAUGCCGCAAUGCCCUGGCUAUGUUACCCACGAACAUGCUGUAGAGAUGCUGGCAUAAUGCCUUAUAAUACGUCCUGUCGUGCAACACGG
RNAcentral lists this ribosomal RNA (758 nucleotides) under uncultured fungus. RNAcentral's name for it is "eukaryotic LSU rRNA". It matches the Rfam family "Eukaryotic large subunit ribosomal RNA", at positions 1 to 664 of the family's 3401-position model. The record is from RNAcentral. Lineage: Eukaryota; Fungi.